RNAcentral lists this ribosomal RNA (468 nucleotides) under uncultured bacterium. Its description in RNAcentral is "partial 16S ribosomal RNA". It matches the Rfam family "Bacterial small subunit ribosomal RNA", at positions 28 to 507 of the family's 1533-position model. The record is from RNAcentral.
GACGAACGCUGGCGGCGUGCUUAACACAUGCAAGUCGAACGGAAAGGCCCUGCUUUUGUGGGGUGCUCGAGUGGCGAACGGGUGAGUAACACGUGAGUAACCUGCCCUUGACUUUGGGAUAACUUCAGGAAACUGGGGCUAAUACCGGAUAGGAUCUCCUGCUGCAUGGUGUGGGUUGGAGAGUUUCGGCUGUUGGGGAUGGUCUCGCUGCUUAUGAGCUUGUUGGUGGGGUAGUGGCUUACAAAGGCUUUGACGGGUAGCCGGCCUGAGAGGGUGACCGGCCACAUGGGGACUGAGAGACGGCCCAGAAGGCUACGGGAGGCAGCAGUGGGAAAUAUUGCACAAUGGGCGGAAGCGUGAUGCAGAAACGCCGCGUGCGGGAUGACGGCCUUCGGGGUGUAAACCGCUUUCGCCUGUGACGAAGCGUGAGUGACGGUAAUGGGUAAAGAAGCACCGGCUAACUACGUG